This 490-nucleotide ribosomal RNA is filed under the name uncultured bacterium. RNAcentral describes it as "partial 16S ribosomal RNA". It matches the Rfam family "Bacterial small subunit ribosomal RNA", at positions 30 to 507 of the family's 1533-position model. The record is from RNAcentral.
AUUGAACGCUGGCGGCAGGCCUAACACAUGCAAGUCGAACGGUAACAGGAAGAAGCUUGCUUCUUUGCUGACGAGUGGCGGACGGGUGAGUAAUGUCUGGGAGACUGCCUGAUGGAGGGGGAUAACUACUGGAAACGGUAGCUAAUACCGCAUAACGUCGCAAGACCAAAAAGGGGGACCUUCGGGCCUCUUGCCAUCGGAUGUGCCCAGAUGGGAUUAGCUAGUAGGUGGGGUAACGGCUCACCUAGGCGACGAUCCCUAGCUGGUCUGAGAGGAUGACCAGCCACACUGGAACUGAGACACGGUCCAGACUCCUACGGGAGGCAGCAGUGGGGAAUAUUGCACAAUGGGCGCAAGCCUGAUGCAGCCAUGCCGCGUGUAUGAAGAAGGCCUUCGGGUUGUAAAGUACUUUCAGCGGGGAGGAAGGGAGUAAAGUUAAUACCUUUGCUCAUUGACGUUACCCGCAGAAGAAGCACCGGCUAACUCCGUG